This 261-nucleotide ribosomal RNA is filed under the name uncultured archaeon. Its description in RNAcentral is "partial 16S ribosomal RNA". It matches the Rfam family "Archaeal small subunit ribosomal RNA", at positions 748 to 1009 of the family's 1478-position model. The record is from RNAcentral.
CAGCCGUAAACUAUGCUCGCUAGGUGUCAGGCAUGGCGCGACCGUGUCUGGUGCCGCAGGGAAGCCGUGAAGCGAGCCACCUGGGAAGUACGGCCGCAAGGCUGAAACUUAAAGGAAUUGGCGGGGGAGCACAACAACGGGUGGAGCCUGCGGUUUAAUUGGACUCAACGCCGGACAACUCACCGGGGACGACAGCAAUAUGUAGGCCAGGCUGAAGACCUUGCCUGAAUCGCUGAGAGGAGGUGCAUGGCGUAGUCGUGU